Molecule: ribosomal RNA, 504 nt
Filed under: Triticum aestivum (bread wheat)
Lineage: Eukaryota; Viridiplantae; Streptophyta; Magnoliopsida; Poales; Poaceae
Description: partial small subunit ribosomal RNA
Source: RNAcentral
AUGCUUCUCUUGACACUUCAAGAGAACAACAACUCGAUAAGCACAAUGGCAAGCCUCGUCGCCACUCUCCUGCACCUCUUCUCCCUCUUGGUCGUCGCCGCCGCAAAGGCCAUCCGCCGCCUCAUCGGGUGGGCACGUCCGGUGUCCUCCUGCCCGCCGGUGCAGGAAUGCUGGGAGGCAGAGGUGUGCUCCACGGUGCUACCCGUGACGCGGUGCGGUGAGCAGCGUGGAGCGGGGCGCGAACGCUGCGUGAUCUGCCUGGGCGGCAUGGAGGAGGGCGACGAGGCGAGGGUGCUCAGGUGCCAGCAUCUGUUCCACCGCUGCUGCCUCGACUGGUGGCUGGCUGCGCGGCCGGGGGCGACGUGCCCGCUCUGCCGUGGCAAGCUCCUCACGGUCACAGCUGCCAAGCACGCCGGGGAAGAGGAGGAGAGGAGCAUCGAGGGGAUGUGCAUGGUCAUGCUCAUGGCCUACGUGCAUAGCCGUACUUCGGUUCCGGCGGUUUAA